Molecule: long non-coding RNA, 908 nt
Organism: Saccostrea cuccullata (small rock oyster)
Lineage: Eukaryota; Metazoa; Mollusca; Bivalvia; Ostreida; Ostreidae
Exons: 3
Source: RefSeq, a predicted model, not a curated record
CUUGAUAUGCUAAAAUCCUGAUUUGACCUGAUUAAAAAUUGUCAGUAAUAUUCCAAACAAAUGAAUUCUUGUAUAACAUAAUGCAUCAUAGUCAAAGGUCUUUAAAAUAAGACAUUUUAAGUACUCAAUAUUAUCAUUUAAUUUAAAAUAAAAACAUCGGGUAAUUUCAGGUCUUUAGUACAUCCGGGUUUCAGUGUGUCCCAUCGAAAUCGGCAAAUCGGACACAUGUUGAUCAUGUUUACAAAGUGAAGUUGAGGAUUUUCUCACCAUACAAGCCGUAUGUAAACAUGCACGGACAUUUCAUCUGCAGCUCAAAGUACUUUAUCAAUCCUCUGGAGCAUUAUUCUAAGCAAAAUUAUCCGAUUUAUAUAUUCUUGUGUGAAUUGUUUACGAGGAAAUUCCGACUGUCACAGUAAUAAACAAGGAUAAACACUCUUGACUCUGUUUCGGAUUCCCCAGUGAUAAUUGUAUCGAAUGAUUAAAGAGCUGACGGUUACAUUUUAAUUUAUGAUUGGCGUGGACCAUGGGAAUUAAUUCGAAGUCAUUUUAUGAUGCCACCACUUGGGAUAGUAAGCUGCAACUAUAGACUUGUACUCAGCACUUAUUGCCUUUGAGAAGUAAGGGAUCCUUUUCGUGCCAACACCCACACCUACUGUGACGCAGAAUCUCGGUUUAUACAGUCUCUUUGGAGUAACCUGUCUCUAGCAUUUAGCAGUGUGACUGUCAUCUGAGUACUGAAAUUUGAUGCCAAGCAUGAUCAUGAUUUGCCAGAAGAGCCUCUUUUGGGAGAUGACAAAGAAUAAACAGCAGAAUGAAAUUGAAACAAUCAACUGAAUCAAGUCUCAGUUUAAGAAGAUGAUUUUAAAUAUAUCAUAUUUAAAUUUUGAUUUGAGAAACAGACAUAAAUC